RNAcentral lists this ribosomal RNA (567 nucleotides) under Penicillium sp. HD-2014. RNAcentral describes it as "eukaryotic LSU rRNA". The stretch from base 199 to 351 matches the Rfam family "5.8S ribosomal RNA". Lineage: Eukaryota; Fungi; Ascomycota; Eurotiomycetes; Eurotiales; Aspergillaceae. The record is from RNAcentral.
UGGGUGACUGCGGAGGUCAUUACCGAGUGAGGGCCCUUUGGGUCCAACCUCCCACCCGUGUUUAUUUUACCUUGUUGCUUCGGCGGGCCCGCCUUUACUGGCCGCCGGGGGGCUCACGCCCCCGGGCCCGCGCCCGCCGAAGACACCCCCGAACUCUGUCUGAAGAUUGAAGUCUGAGUGAAAAUAUAAAUUAUUUAAAACUUUCAACAACGGAUCUCUUGGUUCCGGCAUCGAUGAAGAACGCAGCGAAAUGCGAUACGUAAUGUGAAUUGCAAAUUCAGUGAAUCAUCGAGUCUUUGAACGCACAUUGCGCCCCCUGGUAUUCCGGGGGGCAUGCCUGUCCGAGCGUCAUUGCUGCCCUCAAGCCCGGCUUGUGUGUUGGGCCCCGUCCUCCGAUUCCGGGGGACGGGCCCGAAAGGCAGCGGCGGCACCGCGUCCGGUCCUCGAGCGUAUGGGGCUUUGUCACCCGCUCUGUAGGCCCGGCCGGCGCUUGCCGAUCAACCCAAAUUUUUAUCCAGGUUGACCUCGGAUCAGGUAGGGAUACCCGCUGAACUUAAGCAUAUCUAA